GACGAACGCUGGCGGCGUGCUUAACACAUGCAAGUCGAACGGUAAGGCCCCUCGGGGUACACGAGUGGCGAACGGGUGAGUAACACGUGGGUGAUCUGCCCUGCACUUCGGGAUAAGCCUGGGAAACUGGGUCUAAUACCGGAUAGGACCACUGCCUGCAUGGGUGGUGGUGGAAAGCUUUUGCGGUGUGGGAUGGGCCCGCGGCCUAUCAGCUUGUUGGUGGGGUGAUGGCCUACCAAGGCGACGACGGGUAGCCGGCCUGAGAGGGUGACCGGCCACACUGGGACUGAGAUACGGCCCAGACUCCUACGGGAGGCAGCAGUGGGGAAUAUUGCACAAUGUGCGCAAGCCUGAUGCAGCGACGCCGCGUGAGGGAUGACGGCCUUCGGGUUGUAAACCUCUUUCAGCACCGACGAAGCGCAAGUGACGGUAGGUGCAGAAGAAGGACCGGCCAACUACGUGCCAGCCGCCGCGGUAA
Molecule: ribosomal RNA, 478 nt
Filed under: uncultured bacterium
Lineage: Bacteria
Description: partial 16S ribosomal RNA
Rfam family: Bacterial small subunit ribosomal RNA
Source: RNAcentral